UCUAUGUCAUUUAUUGACUGAUCCUGGCAGUCCCUGAGCAUGGAAUUGUUGGGUGUGUCAGGCCACGGCAGUGGCACCAAGGAGGCUCUGAGCCAGUGGCAUCCCAGGAUCUGAAAAGAAAAGCCCAUGUGCCCAGAAGCUUGUUUUCUUGAAAGAGCAACAUUGCAGGAGAAUUCAAGAACAUCUCAG
Long non-coding RNA from Zonotrichia leucophrys gambelii, 189 nucleotides. RefSeq lists it as uncharacterized. The record is from RefSeq and is a predicted model, not a curated record. Lineage: Eukaryota; Metazoa; Chordata; Aves; Passeriformes; Passerellidae. The transcript is spliced from 3 exons.